AGAUUAAGUUAUUAAGGGCGCACGGUGGAUGCCUUGGCACUAGAAGCCGAUGAAGGACGUUACUAACGACGAUAUGCUUUGGGGAGCUGUAAGUAAGCUGUGAUCCAGAGAUUUCCGAAUGGGGGAACCCAGCACGAGUUAUGUCGUGUUAUCCGCAUGUGAAUACAUAGCAUGUGAGAAGGUAGACCCGGAGAACUGAA
RNAcentral lists this ribosomal RNA (200 nucleotides) under Staphylococcus agnetis. RNAcentral describes it as "partial 23S ribosomal RNA". It matches the Rfam family "Bacterial large subunit ribosomal RNA", at positions 1 to 197 of the family's 2925-position model. The record is from RNAcentral. Lineage: Bacteria; Bacillati; Bacillota; Bacilli; Caryophanales; Staphylococcaceae.